AGUUGUGUGGCUCAGUGGUAGAGCGCUCGCCUAGCAUGUGUGAGGCCCUGGGUUCUAUCCUCAGCACCACAU
RNAcentral lists this transfer RNA (72 nucleotides) under Marmota marmota marmota (Alpine marmot). It matches the Rfam family "tRNA". Rfam says of the family: Transfer RNA (tRNA) molecules are approximately 80 nucleotides in length. Their secondary structure includes four short double-helical elements and three loops (D, anti-codon, and T loops). RNAcentral also lists the same sequence under 1 other name. Lineage: Eukaryota; Metazoa; Chordata; Mammalia; Rodentia; Sciuridae. The record is from Rfam by way of RNAcentral.